Choloepus hoffmanni (Hoffmann's two-fingered sloth) is the source of this 163-nucleotide small nuclear RNA. Its record names the gene U1. It matches the Rfam family "U1 spliceosomal RNA". Rfam says of the family: U1 is a small nuclear RNA (snRNA) component of the spliceosome (involved in pre-mRNA splicing). Its 5' end forms complementary base pairs with the 5' splice junction, thus defining the 5' donor site of an intron. The record is from Ensembl. NCBI's taxonomy places the organism in Eukaryota, Metazoa, Chordata, Mammalia, Pilosa, Megalonychidae.
AUACUCACCCGGCAGGGGAGAUACCAUAUCACGAAGGUGGUUUUCCCAGGGCGAGGCUGAUCCAUUGCACUCUGGGACCUGCAGACCCCUGUGAUUUCCCCACCUGCGGGAAACUCGACUGCAUAAUUUGUGUUGAUGGGGGUUGCAUGCACGCUUUCCCCUG